CUCAAAGAGGUUUUUAGGAGGUUUAGUAUUUCUACAUUCCUUAAAGGUGGGAAAGGCACGUAAGAAGAGGGGCAGGUAGGCAGUCAGGCGAAAGGUUUCAUACUUGUAAGACUUUAAUUUCCUGCCCAGGAAAUCUACAUUUUACAUAAGAUAAGGUGAAUGUUUGAAGAGAAAAGGGGAGCAGAGGAAGAGUCACUUACAAAGACAUCUUUGGGGGAAUAACUUCAGGUAUCAGCUUGUCAGAUGAAUCUGAGGAAAACUCAAGGAAUAAAG
Molecule: long non-coding RNA, 273 nt
Filed under: Homo sapiens (human)
Lineage: Eukaryota; Metazoa; Chordata; Mammalia; Primates; Hominidae
Description: HSALNT0246970
Source: RNAcentral